AUCGCUUCUCGGCCUAUCGGCUAAGAUCAAGUGUAGUAUCUGUUCUUAUCAGCUUAAUAUCUGAUACGGCCCUGUAAUGGGUCUUACGAUAUUAAUCUUAUUUUUGUGAGGCGGUGCUAGGACGGGGCUUGCCCCUCCAGUGCCACGGGUUGUCCCGGUAUUGCACUGCAAUCGGGCACAGCCCACUUUUC
This is a small nuclear RNA of Dermacentor albipictus, 191 nucleotides long. RefSeq annotates it as U2 spliceosomal RNA. Lineage: Eukaryota; Metazoa; Arthropoda; Arachnida; Ixodida; Ixodidae. The record is from RefSeq and is a predicted model, not a curated record.